Molecule: RNase P RNA, 366 nt
Filed under: Geobacter sp.
Lineage: Bacteria; Pseudomonadati; Thermodesulfobacteriota; Desulfuromonadia; Geobacterales; Geobacteraceae
Description: RNase P RNA component class A
Rfam family: Bacterial RNase P class A
About the family: Ribonuclease P (RNase P) is a ubiquitous endoribonuclease, found in archaea, bacteria and eukarya as well as chloroplasts and mitochondria.
Source: RNAcentral
AAAGCAGGACAGGUGGCCGCCGCCUGCUUGCAGGGGGAGGAAAGUCCGGGCUCCACAGGGCAUGGUGCUGGAUAACGUCCAGCGGGGGUGACCCCAGGGAAAGUGCCACAGAGAGAAGUCCGCCCGCUUUGGCGGGUAAGGGUGAAAGGGUGAGGUAAGAGCUCACCGGGUUCGACGGUGACGUCGGAUGCCAGGUAAACCCCACCAGGAGCAAGGCCGAAUAGGGAAGCGCCAAGGACGGCCCGUCCGUGCUUCCGGGUUGGCUGCUUGAGGCCGUUGGCAACGACGGUCCUAGAUGAAUGGCCAUCGCUUUUUUGCAGGUAACUGCAAGGGAGAACAGAACCCGGCUUACGUGCUGCUUUGACC